GGUCAUACACAUGUGGCAGAAGCACUAAAAGUACCGAUUCAUAUAUUUUUCACAAUGCCCUGGACGCCAACUAGUGAAUUCCCACAUCCUUUGUCCCAUGUCAAGCAACAAAACAAGCUGGAUAUAGACUGUCCUAUCAAAUUGUGGACUCUUUGAUUUGGCUGGGAAUAUGGGACAUGAUUAAUGAUGUUCGCAAAAAGAAGCUGAAACUUCGUCCUGUCACAUAUUAGGAUAAAAUGAUGGAGUUAAGGGGUCAACAUCCUCCAGAAGAAUUGUCUGAUAAAGAGAUUAUGGAGCGUGUACUUGGACGUGAUUCGGUAUACUUGUGAGGGUGGGGGCGGUCUCCUAGUGUCAUAACUUCUACUUCACAUCGUGAAAAUAUUGUGGGUAAUCAACCAACUUAUGAAGAGUUACUUGAACGACUUAAUGAUACAACUUCCCGCCUUAAUGCUACUAACGAAGAACUUAGUGUAGUUGUGGAUAUACUUCGUCAUAACAAUUUGAUGGCACUGCCUCCACCACCUCCAACAGACCAAGCUUCAAAUGCAAAUUUAAGAGAGUCGCCAUCUAUUUCAGUUCGGGAGUCACAAGAUGAUUCUUAGUUUAUUUACAUUAAUUUACUAAGGAAUGAACUUUAUGAAGUUUUUUUUAUUUUGGUAGGGGUAACCUUAAAAUGAUAACUUUAUGACUUAUUUUAGUAUUGAACAUUAUAAAGAAUUUUAGCAUUAAACAUUUUAUUA
Humulus lupulus (European hop) is the source of this 740-nucleotide long non-coding RNA. RefSeq lists it as uncharacterized. The record is from RefSeq and is a predicted model, not a curated record. Lineage: Eukaryota; Viridiplantae; Streptophyta; Magnoliopsida; Rosales; Cannabaceae. The transcript has 3 exons.